GAUGAACGCUAGCUACAGGCUUAACACAUGCAAGUCGAGGGGAAACGGCAUUAAGUGCUUGCACUUUUUGGACGUCGACCGGCGCACGGGUGAGUAACGCGUAUCCAACCUUCCCAUGACUAAGGGAUAACCUGCCGAAGGGCAGACUAAUACCUUAUGGUCUUCACUGACGGCAUCAGAUGUGAAGUAAAGAUUUAUCGGUUAUGGAUGGGGAUGCGUCUGAUUAGUUAGUUGGCGGGGUAACGGCCCACCAAGGCAACGAUCAGUAGGGGUUCUGAGAGGAAGGUCCCCCACAUUGGAACUGAGACACGGUCCAAACUCCUACGGGAGGCAGCAGUGAGGAAUAUUGGUCAAUGGGCGAGAGCCUGAACCAGCCAAGUAGCGUGCAGGACGACGGCCCUAUGGGUUGUAAACUGCUUUUGUAUGGGGAUAAAGUCAAUCACGUGUGAUUGUUUGCAGGUACCAUACGAAUAAGGACCGGCUAAUUCCGUGCCAGCAGCCGCGGUAAUACGGAAGGUCCGGGCGUUAUCCGGAUUUAUUGGGUUUAAAGGGAGCGUAGGCUGGAGAUUAAGUGUGUUGUGAAAUGUAGACGCUCAACGUCUGACUUGCAGCGCAUACUGGUUUCCUUGAGUACGCACAACGUUGGCGGAAUUCGUCGUGUAGCGGUGAAAUGCUUAGAUAUGACGAAGAACUCCGAUUGCGAAGGCAGCUGACGGGAGCGCAACUGACGCUGAAGCUCGAAGGUGCGGGUAUCGAACAGG
This 761-nucleotide ribosomal RNA is filed under the name Prevotella melaninogenica. RNAcentral describes it as "bacterial SSU rRNA". It matches the Rfam family "Bacterial small subunit ribosomal RNA", at positions 28 to 776 of the family's 1533-position model. The record is from RNAcentral. Lineage: Bacteria; Pseudomonadati; Bacteroidota; Bacteroidia; Bacteroidales; Prevotellaceae.